AUUGAACGCUGGCGGCAGGCCUAACACAUGCAAGUCGAACGAGUGGCGGACGGGUGAGUAAUGUCUGGGAAACUGCCUGAUGGAGGGGGAUAACUACUGGAAACGGUAGCUAAUACCGCCUACCAUCGGAUGUGCCCAGCUGGGAUUAGCUAGUAGGUGGGGUAAAGGCUCACCUAGGCGACGAUCCCUAGCUGGUCUGAGAGGAUGACCAGCCACGCUGGAUCGGAGACACGGUCCAGACGCCUACGGGACGCAGGGGAGGAGAAUAUUGCACAAUGGGCGCAAGCCUGAUGCAGCCAUGCCGCGUGUAGGAAGAAGGCCUGCGGGUUGUAGAGUACUUUCAGCGUUGAAGCGUUACCCGCAGAAGAAGCACCGGCUAACUCCGUGCCAGCAGCCGCGGUAAUUC
Molecule: ribosomal RNA, 406 nt
Filed under: uncultured bacterium
Lineage: Bacteria
Description: partial 16S ribosomal RNA
Rfam family: Bacterial small subunit ribosomal RNA
Source: RNAcentral